RNAcentral lists this ribosomal RNA (210 nucleotides) under uncultured bacterium. RNAcentral describes it as "partial 16S ribosomal RNA". It matches the Rfam family "Bacterial small subunit ribosomal RNA", at positions 524 to 733 of the family's 1533-position model. The record is from RNAcentral.
UACGAGUGCCCCCAAGCGUUAUCCGGAAUCAUUGGGCGUAAAGGGUGUGUAGGUGGCGAUGUUAGUCUUCUGUCAAACCCCCGGGCUUAACCCGGGAUCUGCAGGGAAACGGCAUCGCUCGAGGAUGCGAGGGGUGAAUGGAACUCAUGGAGUAGGGGUGAAAUCCGUUGAUAUCAUGGGGAACACCAAAAGCGAAGGCAAUUCACUGGC